Molecule: long non-coding RNA, 4314 nt
Organism: Columba livia (rock pigeon)
Lineage: Eukaryota; Metazoa; Chordata; Aves; Columbiformes; Columbidae
Exons: 3
Source: RefSeq, a predicted model, not a curated record
UGAUGUCAUAAAAUAGCUGUUUUAAUAAGACAGAAUAAGAAGAGAACUAUUAGAUAGCAAGUAAAUCUUACAUCCCUUUGGAGGCAGGGCACCCCACUUUCCUGCAACACUGGUGGACCCCAGGUAGACUUUCCCACGACUUGCUGUGGGAAUCCCAUCUGUGGAGAUGAGCCCAGCAUCUGAAGUGGCGUAAGAUUUACUUGUGAUCUAUAUUCCUCUUUUUCGUUCUGUGCCAUUAUGGCAGCAAUUUUAUUAUUCCAUUUGUUGUCAGGCCUUUCUCACCGAGGCCCAGGAAGACCUCUGUACCAUGUCAUGCCCGCUCAUCAUGCCUGGAAACACUGCAUGGUGUCCCUCACUGCAGAAUGGAGCAGGGGGUAGAGGAAGAAAGGACACUGGGUCCAACCAUAGGCUCUGUCCAGGCUGUGCUCUUCCCCACAGCCGUGGUGCAGGUUUGGUGACUCUGUAGAGCAUAAUAGGAGGGAAGUAACUUGGCUUCCCUUUUCACCUCCUCAGGGGCUGUUUUAUCCCACCUGGCAUAUAGUGUCUUUCAUUGGAGGAGGGACAGCUAUAUCUCCUACCUGCAGGUCUGGAUCCACCCCAGAGAGUUGGCACCAUACCAUCUCUAUCCAGGCCUCCCCAGUCCUAAGCUGGAGCAACGGCAAGUUCCUUACUCCAAAUAACGGCUCGCUUCCACCACACCUGGAGGCUGGUCUCCAGCCUCCUUAGCUGCCGUGUAAUCUGGGCUGACCAGCGGUACAGACAGAGCUCCCUCUGGCACCAACAAAGGGUUAGUUAAACAGGGGAAGCUGUUUGCACCUUUGGGUGAUGUGGGAGCGAGGACAGCAGGGAAAGGAUGGGUUGUGUGACCAGAGCUGUUGAAGGACAGGUGGCAUCCCCCAGUGCCAACUCAGCUGGCCAAAGGUGGCCCCUCAGUGAUUUAAUUCCCUGAUGGCUAAAAGCCAAGGUGGCUGCACUUCUUACCUCAUCAGCAAGGGAAAUUUCACUCCCUGACAGGAGUCAAUGUUCCUGGCAUUCCUGCUCCCAGAGAGUAUAACACUUUCUGCAGCUGGGCGUCCUCACUUUCCACGCCAUGUCAUUCCUUGGUCACAAAUUGCCAUUGCUGAAUAGUUACACCUUCAUCUCUCGUGGUUUGUCUAUGCUCCAUGUGCCUGCAGAUGAGCUUUUUAUCACUUAACGUGACAAUCACCAGUUCUAGGGGCCAUUGGACUCCAGUGGGACAGCUGACUCCAUCCUUCUGGUGCAGCAGCAGCAGUGUGGCCCACUGUCCACCUGGCUGGCUGGUGGGUCCUGGCAUUGCUGGGAGGCCCCAUCUCCGUCCCCACAGAGGAGGAAUAUCACAUCCCAGCGCUGGCACAUGUAGCAGAUGCUCAUGGCUGUCCCCAGUCCUGCUACAGCUCUGAGGUUUGUGGGAAUGAAGAGCUUGGGAGAAUGAGAAUCUGCAUGGAGAAGGAGUGAAAUCAUGAAGCUCUGACCUGCACACCUCUGCAAUCAGGAGCAAAGUGACAGAAGGAAGAAGGAAUGGUCACAUGCUUUUUGGCGUCCUGAAUUACAUUAAAACUCCAGGUAGAAGUCAAAGACUUAGAUCCAGUAUCCUGGAGCCACUAAUUGAUGCUGAAAACAUUAACAUGAGACUGGACUGUGUUCAGGAAUUACUCCAGGACGGGGAGCUCUUUUUUGGCCUUUAACUAGUUAUCUCAAAAUUCCUGGAUACAGAACAACUACUUUCCAUUUUGGCGCAAGUUCCAAAGCAGGAUAUAGUAUGUUUUGAAAUGAACCUUAGAUGAUCAGUUACCUCCAAGACGCUUGUCUUGGAGCAGGAACCUGAUAGUCCUGGGGAAUCAGUGCAAAUGCAUGGAAAAUAAGCCCUACUGAAAUCCAAAAAUCAUGGUGUAUAUUGAAAUAAAACUUAACUUCUCUUCUGACAAACUGCUGAUGGGCAGAGAGGAAGAUCUGGAAAGUCCUGCGUUUGUCACCAGAGCGGCAGAAGGUGUCACGAGUGGUGGCAGCUGCUCCCAAAGCUGCUUACAGACCUUUUUUGUGUAGCCAGUUCCAUUUCUGAAGUUGUUCACAGCCUAGAGGCAGAAAAACCAUUUAUGGAAAGGUAACGUUACAGAAUAUAUUCCAGAAACUUCAGCAGAUCUCCACACAAACGCCUCUGAGGAGUCAAAUUACUUGUGCAUUCCUGCAAAUGCCAUCAAACCUAAAAUAAAUCAACAUACAGAGAUAGGAACAUGUCACAUUAAACAUGGAUGUUAAGGAUUGGUAUUUAAUCCUUUAUUUAGUACUUUGGUACUUAAAGUCCUUCAGUGUUAACGCUGAAUUUGAAUGUGAAGCGAUCACGCUAAACAAAACUGUGACCCGAAUUGGACAAAUUGCCUCUAAAUUUAGAGUUGUGACCUUCUGGAACAACAGAUAAUGUGUUUGAACAGGAAAUUCCAAGUGUUUUUAGCCAAACUAAGGACGUUUUGUAGGUUCUAAUCAAUUAUAAGAACACUUAGAUGAUUAAUGGGUAAAUAUAGUCUGGAAUGAAGAGCAUGAAACUCUAAAUGUUCAAUAGUGUAAAAAAUUUCUCAUACGCAACAAAUAGCUAUAGAGUUUUGAUAUUUUGUUCUUACAACAUUUGAAGAUGUAGACUGGGCUGUGUCCUGGUGUUCUAAUUAGUCUCAUUAGAUGAGGCUGUGUCUGGAUGUUUUGACCAGUCUUUUUUCCACCUUCUCAUCCAGUGAGAAGUCACCAACCUCAAGGUUACUGAAUAAAACACAUCUCAAAAACCAUGAGUAGGUAGGUUUGAGUUCUGGAGGCCUGAACCAACCCUCUCAGGGAGAAGAAUGUGGAUUAAAUUAUAUUUAUUUCUUGAAAUUCUUUUCUGAUAGUUUAAAUGAUAUUUCCUUCUUAUAUUUCUACCUUCAGAAGAGCAGGUGUGAUGCUGGCAUUAGCAAACACAUUCAUCGCAAUAACUGUUUCCACAGCAGGGAAUAAUGAUGGCAUCAGUUGUUAUGUUUUUACAAAUGAGACAUAACAACUCCUCGCGAACAGGGUUGUGGUUUGAGGAGGAGGAGGGCGGUUCCAGUGAUAAAAAUGGAGGUUUUUUCCUUCUUCCCUCUCCCUGGAGUGGGAGAUGGAAAAUCAAAAAGUUGAAGAUGGGCAAAGGAAAGCUUCUCCAAGCUUUGGGUUUCAUCAAAGGGAGAUAAUAGAUGGAAUUUUCAGGUUAUGAGACAGCGACAACGCUUCUUCCCCCAUAACUACAGGUGCUGCGCAACUUGCUGGCAUUGCCGCUAACACACUCACAUGUGGUUUCUCCCGUUGCCUUUUGGGUCAGUCCAAUUAAUUCUGUACUUACGUGUUAAUAAUUGGUAUUGCGUACUUUCCGGUGUUUGUCAGCAUCGCACCCCUUGUACUGGGAUCUUUCAGCUCCAUCAGGAAAUUUCUGGGAAUUCCUGUGUUCUUUUUACUCCUGGGAACAGGCUCAAAAGUUUUGUCCUGUUACAAACAGAAAGGCAGACAUCUCUCAUCUGAAGACCCACACUUGAAAUGACAUUUCAGUGAUGAUUUCAACUAGCAAAAGCUUUUAAUCUUCUCCUUUUGCCAAGCAUAAGGGCUGCAUGAAUAUUCAACAAAAGACUUGUGUAACAAAAACACACAAAUAUCCAACAGGUGGGGUCAACAGAAACAUCUCGGUUUUGUACGGAAUCCUAAAAACUGCAAAAUGUCAUUAAAAAGAGUUCAAAACAAAACAAUUUCCAGUAAUACUGAAGUAGAUAAACAGGCAUGAAGGAUCACAGAGCAUGAUCUACAGCCAUAUUUAUUGUCUAUUACCUAGGAAAAAAGAAAACAUUACAUUAAGAAUUCCAGGUUGUCCCUCCCUGAACAUCUGGGUCCAUUGGGGCACUCCCAAGGUAGUUCAGGGAGGGACCCAGGAGUUCGGGAGGGACCCCAAACCCUGAACCCCCACAGAGCCCCAUACGUUACUCAUAGUGCCCCGUAAGUGACUCUUAGCCACCCCCAAGUGCCCCGGAAGUGGCUCAUAGAGCCCCAUAAGUGACCCAUAGAGCUCCACAAGUGACACAUGGAGCCCCAUAAGUGACUCUUAUCGACCCAUAAGUGCCUUUUAGUGACCCCCAAGUGCCCCCUAGCGACCCACAAGUUCCCCCUUCUUGCCCCAUAAGUGCCCCAUAGUGCCCCAUAAGUGACUCAUAGAGACUGGGUCCCGCCCUGAACUCCUGAGUCCCUGGGGCACUCCUGGGUCCCUCCCGAACUCCUGGAUCUCUCCUGAACUCCUGGGUCCCUUGCGGC